Non-coding RNA from Podospora appendiculata, 121 nucleotides. Lineage: Eukaryota; Fungi; Ascomycota; Sordariomycetes; Sordariales; Podosporaceae. The record is from the annotation of a GenBank genome assembly.
GGUGGUGUAGUAUAGCGGUCAGUACAUGCCGUGACAGUGAAAUCACGACCUGACUCCGACAGCAGAUGGGAAGUACCUUCACCCGAUGGCAAGUUCCUUGGUUCAAGUCCAGGUACCACCA